CUUUAAGUUUGGUUUGUAUUCAGUGUGGAGCUUGGAUAAAGAAUUUGCAUUGCUUUGACAGAGCCAAGGAAAUAUAGUUCCACAGAACGAAGACUUUGCUUCUUUUCCCCCUUAAAAGAAGACUGUGGAAGGAACGGGAUCAGACCAGUGGCCCAUCUGUUCCAGCUUCUUUUUCUCACAGUGGCCAAUCAGAUUCCCAUUGGAAGCUUGAAAGCAGGACCUGAAGUGCAACAGCUCCCCAGCUCUCCCCACUUGUGAUUCCCUGCAACUGGUAUCCCAAAGUAUACUGCCUCCGACCGUGGAGGUAGUACAUAGUCUUCAGUGGACUUGUUGCACUAGAGGAGGUAGAGCGCUUUAAUCUACUUUUAACUGCACAAACGUAAACGUCCUGCUUGAAUCCUUCCUGCAAAAUACUGACAAUCUGGAGGUGGCCAUAGUUAGCAUGUGCCAAAGCAGAUGGCUUAGCGGAUGAAAGAAUGAAGGCAAGGAGAAAGAUGUCCACUUAUCUGGUGGUAGCUGGUGACUCCAUGUCAGUGGGGCAGUGGAAUCCGCUACGGAGUUUAGUCUGAACUUUCAAGGAGCUGUCCAAAGUGCUUCAGCACCUUGUCUUGUCUUAUUGACACUGCCACAAUCACUAGUCAAGCUGUUUAGAUGGAAGAUGGAAGGGACAAAGUCUUACUGAAUAUUGGACUUUGGAUAUGUUAAGACCAGGAAGUGCUUACAGAUAAACCAAAAUUCCACUCCAAAAUCUGUCAGGUAGGAUGUUGUAAAGCUGCCAUUGUGAUGAUUUGUUAUUGUUUUAUUCUCUGUAUGGUUUAUUUUUAUGUACUCUUAGAAAUGCUCAUGAUUAAGCAGAAUAUAAAUACCAUAAAUGAAUGAAUGAAUGAAAUUUAUUCACUGUGAGCUGCUUACUAAGGUGGCCAUAUUUGGAAUCAAGAACUCUUGUACCAUCACACCUCUCCAAUGGUAUUGCCGAAGAGGACACAAAGAAAUGCAGGACUUUUUUUCAGAGCAGGAUCAAUGACAAUCUGCUGGAUCCCUAGCAUAAAUGACAGAUUCUACUUGCUCUGGCAAGAGAAUGAAGUGACCAUGAGACUUUCAAGUUUAUUUGUAACAGAGUAGCAUAGAGGAAAUUAGAGAAUUAGGCAAUCAGUCUUGCAGAGGCUGGAUAUUUUCUCCCCUUUCUUUGAUGGGCUUUUUGUAUGUGCCAUGUGCAUUGAUGGCACUAUAUAUUAAUAAAUUAAUUAUAAUACUGCACACUAGCAGUUUAAA
Rhineura floridana is the source of this 1272-nucleotide long non-coding RNA. RefSeq lists it as uncharacterized. The record is from RefSeq and is a predicted model, not a curated record. NCBI's taxonomy places the organism in Eukaryota, Metazoa, Chordata, Lepidosauria, Squamata, Rhineuridae. The transcript is spliced from 3 exons.